AUUGAACGCUGGCGGCAGGCCUAACACAUGCAAGUCGGACGGUAGCACAGAGGAGCUUGCUCCUCGGGUGACGAGUGGCGGACGGGUGAGUAAUGUCUGGGGAUCUGCCCGAUAGAGGGGGAUAACCACUGGAAACGGUGGCUAAUACCGCAUAACGUCGCAAGACCAAAGAGGGGGACCUUCGGGCCUCUCACUAUCGGAUGAACCCAGAUGGGAUUAGCUAGUAGGCGGGGUAACGGCCCACCUAGGCGACGAUCCCUAGCUGGUCUGAUAGGAUGACCAGCCACACUGGAACUGAGACACGGUCCAGACUCCUACGGGGGGCAGCGGUGGGGAAUAUUGCACAAUGGGCGCAAGCCUGAUGCAGCCAUGCCGCGUGUAUGAAGAAGGCCUUCGGGUUGUAAAGUACUUUCAGCGGGGAGGAAGGCGAUGUGGUUAAUAACCGCGUCGAUUGACGUUACCCGCAGAAGAAGCACCGGCUAACUCCGUGCCAGCCGCCGCAGUAA
RNAcentral lists this ribosomal RNA (506 nucleotides) under uncultured bacterium. RNAcentral's name for it is "partial 16S ribosomal RNA". It matches the Rfam family "Bacterial small subunit ribosomal RNA", at positions 29 to 523 of the family's 1533-position model. The record is from RNAcentral.